GGAUAGCCCAGAUGGAAAUGGCAUCCUUUUUAAUUUUUCUAGAAACUGAAUUUAUUUCCGAUUCUAGAAAAAACAAAAAGAUAUAAUAAAAAGCUGGAAGAAGC
RNAcentral lists this small RNA (104 nucleotides) under Flavobacterium frigoris. RNAcentral's name for it is "Flavo-1 RNA". It matches the Rfam family "Flavo-1 RNA". The record is from RNAcentral. Lineage: Bacteria; Pseudomonadati; Bacteroidota; Flavobacteriia; Flavobacteriales; Flavobacteriaceae.